Molecule: ribosomal RNA, 1566 nt
Filed under: Triticum aestivum (bread wheat)
Lineage: Eukaryota; Viridiplantae; Streptophyta; Magnoliopsida; Poales; Poaceae
Description: partial small subunit ribosomal RNA
Source: RNAcentral
AUGGAGAUGGAGCUCAACCUUGUCUCGUACGUGUCCAUCGCCCUGUUCGUCCUCUCCGGCGCGUACGUCUACCACACGACGCGGAGCCGGUCGCCGAGGCCGCGGCUCCCGCCGUCACCGCCUGGGUGGCCCGUGAUCGGCCACCUCCACCUGCUGACGGACAUGCCGCACCACGCGCUUGCGGAGCUGGCCAGGACCAUGCGCGCCCCGCUACUCCGGCUCCGGCUUGGGAGCGUCCAGGCCGUGGUGAUCUCCAAGCCUGACUUGGCCCGCGCGGCGCUCACCAGCAACGACGCGGCCAUGGCGUCCCGCCCGCACCUUCUCUCAGGCCAGUUCCUUGCGUUCGGGUGCUCCGAGGUCACGUUAGCCCCGGCGGGGCCGUACCACCGGAUGGUGCGGCGGGUGGUCGUCUCCGAGCUCCUCUCGGCGCGCCGCGUCGCCACCUACGGCAGCGUCCGGUGCAAGGAGCUCCGCCUCCUACUCGCGCACCUCACCAAGAACACCACGCCGGGGACGCCCGUCGACCUCAGCGAGUGCUUCCUGAACCUCGCCAACGACGUGCUCUGCCGUGUGGCCUUCGGCCGCCGCUUCCCGCAUGGCAAGGAUGACAAGCUCGCCGCGGUACUCACCGAGGCCCAGGACCUCUUCGCCGGGUUCAACGUCGGGGACUUCUUCCCUCAGCUCGAGCCCUUUGCGAGCACCAUCACCGGGCUCCGCCGCCGGCUGAAGAGCUGCUCCGCCGACCUCCGCGAGGUCUGCGACGACAUCGUCGAGGAGCACGUGAGCGGCAAGCACCAGCGCCUCCCCGGCGACCGCGACGAGGACUUUGUGGACGUGCUCCUCCGCGUCCAGAAGUCGCCCGACCUCGAGGUCCCGCUCACCGACGACAAUCUCAAAGCCCUCAUCCUGGACAUGUUCGUCGCCGGCACAGACACGACGUUCGCGACGCUGGACUGGGUGAUGACGGAGCUGGUUCGCCACCCACGCAUCCUUCAAAAGGCGCAGGAGGAGGUCCGGCGGGUGGUGGGCGCCAAGGGCCGGGUGGAGGAGUCGGACCUGGCGGAGCUCCCCUACAUGCGCGCCAUCAUCAAGGAGACCUUCCGGCUGCACCCGGCGGUGCCGCUGCUCGUCCCGCGGGAGACCGUGGCCGCGUGCACGCAGGGCGGCUACGACAUCCCUGCCAAGACCCGCGUCUACAUCAACACGUUCGCCAUGGGCCGGGACCCGGAGAUCUGGGAGGACCCGCUGGAGUACUCGCCGGAGCGGUUCGAGGUUGCCGGCGCCGGCGGCGAGAUCGACCUCAAGGACCCGGACUACAAAUUGCUGCCGUUUGGCGGCGGGCGGAGGGGGUGUCCAGGCUACACGUUCGCGCUGGCCACCGUGCAGGUGUCGCUGGCCAGCCUGCUGUACCACUUGGAGUGGGCGCUGCCCGCCGGCGUGCGCGCCGAGGACGUGAGCGUGGAGGAGACCUUCGGGCUGGCCACCAGGAAGAAGGAGCCGCUCUUUGUGGCCGUCAGGAAGAGCGACGUGUACGAAUUCAAGGGGGAGGAGCUCAGCGAGGUUUAA